Mangifera indica (mango) is the source of this 2085-nucleotide long non-coding RNA. RefSeq lists it as uncharacterized. The transcript has 2 exons. NCBI's taxonomy places the organism in Eukaryota, Viridiplantae, Streptophyta, Magnoliopsida, Sapindales, Anacardiaceae. The record is from RefSeq and is a predicted model, not a curated record.
CCCAUUUUCUUCAUCCCUGUGAUUCAUUAAGAAAACUUUCCCUUUCCCUUUCCCUUUCUUCUUUCUCCUUCCGUACUCUGCUGAGUGUUUUUAGCCUUUUAAUCUUUGUUUUCCGAAUUACCCUCCAUCCAUGGCCACCGCCUCUGCAACCCCCGACUGGUGCAGUCUCCCAGACCCCAUUUUCUUCAACAUCGUGCAACGCCUCCAACCCAAACUGAACUCAGCCGUUUCCGCGCCGUCUGCAGCUCGUUCCGCUUUGCCGUCCCUCUCCCCUCUCCGAAACUUUCACUCGUCAUUGCGGAAUCCACUGUCUAUGCCUUGCAACACCUUUCCUACGAGGCCCCUCCGUCGAUAAUCAAAGUUGAAAAAUCAAGCCGGGGAAAAACCCGGGUCCAGGACCCUUACUCUCGCCGCCAUUUUGAAGAGCACGUUCUUGACAUGUUGCCUCAGUCAGUGAACUUGCUGGAAUAUCGCGUGCAGGAAAUCGGUAAAAGGUAUAGAAUUGAUUGGGUUCCGGUUGAACAUCCGAGACAGUUCAGUGUGUGGAAGUAUAUUUUGUUGCAAAAUUUGCCGUCUCUGCAGAUAAUGAUGAGUUAGCGGUCAUGGUUUUUCUGAAUUUUGAGUUGAUGGUUUGGAGAAGCAGUGAGAAGAAAUGGGUCGACUUGGGUUUUGGUGAUGUUGAUGUUCAGGAUAUUGUUUAUUAUAAGAAGCAAUUUCAUGUAGUGAUGUCAAAUGGGCAUAUUUUAAGUGUUGAUCCGAAGUCUUUGGAGCUUGAUGAAGAAGAGUAAGAGGGGAUUGAAGGGAAGGAUUUGGAGGGUCGAGCAUUGUUUCCGUUUGAUGGAGGUAGCUUAUUUACUUCGGCUAAAGAUUUUUUGGGAAUAAAACCAAAUUGUGUUUGUAUGGGUGAAACUGGUUUCUUCGGGGUUACAUAUGAUUUCCCUGGGAUGUAUACUACGAUUUUUGACUUCAAUGACGGUAGUAAUGAGUGGCUCAUAUCAUUUCCUGAAUCUUAUGAGACUUUUUGGUCUCCACCAGCUUGGCUCUUCCCUGAACGUAAGUUUUCUUUUUCUUUUUAAAUUGUGUAUUGUAUAGCACUUGCAGUGAUGAAUUCGCUGGAGUGGACUUGUUUUUAUGGUUCAUUUCUUUAUUUGUGAUAGCAAUGCCAUAUUAAAUUCUGAUUUGUUUGACUAGAUUAAAGACUUUUAACGAGAUUAUGUAAGCAUUGAAAGUGCAGAUUUAAAAAGCACAUCAAAAUUGUAUGUUAGCCGCAUCAGGGGGAGUUGCUUGUAUUUAUAGGUUGUUCCAUGAUUCUGACAGCAGUUCCAUGGUAUUAUUGUAAUAUCUGUGUGUUGAUUAUUAUUUUUAAAUUGAAAUCUGAUUUGUGUAGCUAGAUUGAGGACAAUUUUAACAAGAUUGUGUAAGCACAGGAAAUACUGAUUUAGAAGGGCAUGGUGUAAAACAGUACAUAUACUGACUUCCUAUAUGUAAAUUUUCAAUGUUCAAAUGCUUUUACAGAUUUUAGUUGUUGUUGCUUGUUUUCAAUUGGAUAUGGAUUUGCUUUGCUGUGUUCCUUAUUGUCUCCUUUUGUUACACCAUCUUUCUUGAUGCUUUCUUUGUCGUAAUCCAAGCUUUAGCCAGUUGUGGGUGUGAACUCUUGGAUAAUCAUUCCUCAAGGUUGUUCGGGAGAUAGUUAAAUUACUCUUUGCAGGAUCAUCAAGCAUGAGAUUCAAGCAAAUUUGAUUAUUUAUAGUUGAAUGUUUUAUGCAGUUUCUCUGUUUACUCCAGUUUCAGAUAAUCAAUUUUAGGGAAUGGUUACAAAAUUUCAUGAUCACUCUUCUCUCAGCCAUGAUUCAUUGUCAUAGGGUACUCUGUUUUUCUAUUUCAGUUCUUGAUAGUCUCUGUAUAUUCAUAUGUCAAAACAAAUAUUUAUCUGUAAACUAAAUUUCCUUUUUAUCGGUUCAUUAAUUUGUGCCUUGUGGCAGAUUCUUAAGUUUCUGUGGCUUCGAUAUGUUCAGCCUUUGGUGUUCAUGGCACCUUCUAUAUGUUUUUUAACUUUCACUUCAUAAUAUACAGUAACAUUAUAUC